UACAGAGACUGCAAGCGUUGUUCGGAAUCACUGGGCGUAAAGGGCGCGUAGGCGGCCAGGCAAGUCGGCUUGGGAAAGCCCGGGGCUCAACCCCGGAGGUGCGGCCGGGACUGCUUGGCUGGAGGCCGGAAGAGGAGGGUGGAAUACCCAGUGUAGAGGUGAAAUUCGUAGAUAUUGGGUGGAACACCGGUGGCGAAAGCGGCUCUCUGGUCCGGACCUGACGCUGAGGCGCGAAAGCGUGGGGAGCAAACAGG
RNAcentral lists this ribosomal RNA (254 nucleotides) under uncultured bacterium. RNAcentral describes it as "partial 16S ribosomal RNA". It matches the Rfam family "Bacterial small subunit ribosomal RNA", at positions 524 to 776 of the family's 1533-position model. The record is from RNAcentral.